Molecule: ribosomal RNA, 253 nt
Filed under: uncultured bacterium
Lineage: Bacteria
Description: partial 16S ribosomal RNA
Rfam family: Bacterial small subunit ribosomal RNA
Source: RNAcentral
UACGUAGGUGGCAAGCGUUGUCCGGAAUUAUUGGGCGUAAAGCGCGCGCAGGCGGUCCUUUAAGUCUGAUGUGAAAGCCCACGGCUCAACCGUGGAGGGUCAUUGGAAACUGGGGGACUUGAGUGCAGGAGAGGAAAGCGGAAUUCCACGUGUAGCGGUGAAAUGCGUAGAGAUGUGGAGGAACACCAGUGGCGAAGGCGGCUUUCUGGUCUGUAACUGACGCUGAGGCGCGAAAGCGUGGGGAGCAAACAGG